UCCAUCCUAGGGUUACCCUCCAUGCUCCUGUAAUGGUCUCUUUGGUACCCUACUCGCGCCCCCUGCUUGCAGCGCCUUUUAGUUGAUUGCCCCACGGAAACCAUAUCCUCUCUUCAGUUGUCUGUCAAAACCAAAUUCCCAUUUGAUUCUAUUCUAGCCAGGAAGGAUCAUUGCCAACUUAACUUGAAGCUGGUGGAAGAAAGAUACUCUGAUGAUGGUGUGCUGGAGUUAGACGGUGAAGCUUCCUACAGUUCCUUCUCAGAUCCUCGGAGGUCACAGCACAGCCUUUCUGCUAGUGACUCCUUUGGUAAAUUUGAUGUGAAGGCCAAAGGUGCUGCAACUCAAAGGCCAAGGUGUGGCCUUAGGCGACGUCGCAGAGCCAGUAUUGAUAAUCAAAAUCCCUUAUGAUCCCAUCUCCCUAAAACAAAUUAGUUUUCCUAAACAUCCAUUAACAUUGUACGUGGAGAGGAUUAUUGAGCUGCAGGAUAAUAGACAUUUACGCGAAUACGAUCUGAGAUCGAUAUUUUGAUUAAGCUAUCCUCAGUGCCUACGCCUUCUUGCAUAACGAACACAAUCUCGAACACGAGUGCAAGGAAGUUGAAAGUCAUCGUGCUAUCAAAGUGUGAAACUAAGAGGCUGAUUGUGGAUGUUAAUCCCAUGGAUAGAGUUCAGGUGCUUUUUUAAAGACAGAUUUUGUAUGUACUUCUGUUAUACUAUUAUAUUAGUGAUGAAAUAAAGGGCUGAAACUGUGUAAAUAUAGGUUUUAAGGAAUGAGCUGGAAAAGCUACAACAUGAAAUGUAUGGAAUGCUUGCAUUCAUUUGUAAAAUGUGCAGGCAGAUGCUGCUUUUGGACUGCUUUUGUGAAAUGUUAGUGUAAUAGCCCUGGUUUUUAAGAGCGUUUAUUUAAACGUUAAAUAUAUUUAUUAAGUUAAUUAUGUUCUGAAAAUAUUAUUUUAUUUCA
Long non-coding RNA from Beta vulgaris subsp. vulgaris (sugar beet), 961 nucleotides. RefSeq lists it as uncharacterized. The record is from RefSeq and is a predicted model, not a curated record. NCBI's taxonomy places the organism in Eukaryota, Viridiplantae, Streptophyta, Magnoliopsida, Caryophyllales, Amaranthaceae. The transcript is spliced from 2 exons.